GGGUGCGAUCAUACCAGCACUAAUGCACCGGAUCCAAACAGAACUCCCAAGUUAAACGUGCUUGGGCGAGAGUAGUACUAAGAUGGGUGACCUCUUGGGAAGUCCUCGUGUUGCACCCU
This is a non-coding RNA of Ricinus communis (castor bean), 119 nucleotides long. The record is from Rfam. NCBI's taxonomy places the organism in Eukaryota, Viridiplantae, Streptophyta, Magnoliopsida, Malpighiales, Euphorbiaceae.